This is a non-coding RNA of Colletes gigas, 128 nucleotides long. RefSeq annotates it as small Cajal body-specific RNA 8. The record is from RefSeq and is a predicted model, not a curated record. The transcript has a single exon. NCBI's taxonomy places the organism in Eukaryota, Metazoa, Arthropoda, Insecta, Hymenoptera, Colletidae.
UGGAAGAUAGAUACGCGAGAUGCAAGAGUCUAGGCUUUUCGUCAUAAAUUCUUCCUACAAAGAAAUUGCUUUCUGAUGACUGUAAUUUGUGAAGUUUUAAUUUACAGACAGAUACGGGGCAUACAAAA